This 268-nucleotide signal recognition particle RNA is filed under the name Clostridia bacterium. RNAcentral's name for it is "signal recognition particle sRNA large type". It matches the Rfam family "Bacterial large signal recognition particle RNA". From Rfam's summary of the family: The signal recognition particle (SRP) is a universally conserved ribonucleoprotein involved in the co-translational targeting of proteins to membranes. Archaeal SRP consists of a 7S RNA and homologues of the eukaryotic SRP19 and SRP54 proteins. Lineage: Bacteria; Bacillati; Bacillota; Clostridia. The record is from RNAcentral.
CCAUACUAACCGGGGGAGUAGCGGGUCCUUGUACCUGAAAUCCGCUGUAGCAGGGGCUAAUUCCGUUUUUGAGGGCAUCGGCCGGCUUGUCUGUGCCGUAUGCAGCCGCGUUGAAGAAUGGGUCUUACGCAAUUUGAUGCCGUGAACCAUGUCAGGUGGGGAACCAAGCAGCAUUAAGCGGAAGUUUGAAUGUGCCGUAGGGGUGCCUGUUCCGAGCGGUUGGUACGGUCAACGGGGUUGUUCGUUUGUUCGAUCUUACGGUGUAUGG